CCUACGGGCGGCUGCAGUGGGGAAUAUUGGACAAUGGGGGCAACCCUGAUCCAGCCAUGCCGCGUGUGUGAAGAAGGCCCUCGGGUUGUAAAGCACUUUCAGUGAGGAAGAACGCCUGGUGGUUAAUACCCAUCAGGAAAGACAUCACUCACAGAAGAAGCACCGGCUAACUCCGUGCCAGCAGCCGCGGUAAUACGGAGGGUGCGAGCGUUAAUCGGAAUUACUGGGCGUAAAGCGCGCGUAGGUGGCUUGAUAAGCCGGUUGUGAAAGCCCCGGGCUCAACCUGGGAACGGCAUCCGGAACUGUCAAGCUAGAGUGCAGGAGAGGAAGGUAGAAUUCCCGGUGUAGCGGUGAAAUGCGUAGAGAUCGGGAGGAAUACCAGUGGCGAAGGCGGCCUUCUGGACUGACACUGACACUGAGGUGCGAAAGCGUGGGUAGCAAACAGGAUUAGAUACCCUUGUAUC
This 464-nucleotide ribosomal RNA is filed under the name Vreelandella stevensii. RNAcentral describes it as "partial 16S ribosomal RNA". It matches the Rfam family "Bacterial small subunit ribosomal RNA", at positions 338 to 794 of the family's 1533-position model. The record is from RNAcentral. Lineage: Bacteria; Pseudomonadati; Pseudomonadota; Gammaproteobacteria; Oceanospirillales; Halomonadaceae.